This 1164-nucleotide unclassified non-coding RNA is filed under the name Hevea brasiliensis (rubber tree). The record is from RNAcentral. Lineage: Eukaryota; Viridiplantae; Streptophyta; Magnoliopsida; Malpighiales; Euphorbiaceae.
AGUGGCAGGCUAGCAUUAAUGAGGUACUCUUCUACGCAUAAAAUUUUCUCUUUCCUUCUUUAAAUAAGCUUUUUGUUUAUAGCUUAUUGUGAUGCUUUCUGUUUGUCUGCUACCAUGGAUUUAAGAGUUGUGCAUGCAUUUGACUUUAAUUUAUUAUUUCUUAAAGUAGCCCCAUAUCCAUAUGUAAUUUUUACUGUAGCAGAAAUAUGCAUGGACCUGUGAGGCUGUGAGCUCAUAUUAUAUUAUUUAUAUAUUGGAGUGGAAAGGCAUAAUCCUGUUGGUUGAUGUGUAAUCAUUAAUACAUUCAAGAUUGAUGAAAGGGAUGUUACUUGAGAGAGAGAGAGAGAUGGAGAUUGAUGUAUAGACGCUAUGCAAUGCAAUAUUCAACUAUACCAAACGGCACUUGAAAUUUAUUAAUCGGUAUGGUUAACUGAUUAAUAUUCUCCUAAUUUUAUCACAUGUGAGAACUGAGAACAUGAAACUACAGCUUGAAGGAAGCUCAUUUUCCCACACUCGUGCCUUGAGAUCCCAACCUUUGAUAACAGGAAAGUCAGAGAGAGGUAGUACAAUACCAAAAACCCAUAAUAUUAUUAAUUGAUUCAGUAAUCUGAUUGUCAUUUUCCUCUCUUUCAUCAUAUGAAAACUUAAGUUCAUCUUCUACUUUGGCGGACUCUUCCUAAUUUAACUGGAAAGUUGCUCCAUGGAAAUUUUAGCCAUACAACUUGGAUGGGAAAGUCGGCAACUAGCUCAUGUUUAUUUUCAUUGUAUAAAAACUACUAGGACCUGAGAAUUGCACUUGUGUUGACUUUGAGCAUAUAUUAGUGCGAAGUAAUUCACACUCCCUUUUUUAUGAAACUUGAUCCAUAUAUAAACAUAGGACUCGACUGAUUCCUUGUUCCAAUUGCUGAAGGUCCUUUCAUAGGCUUAUUGGCUGGGAGGCCAUAUAGCUUUUCUCAGUCUCUAAGAUAAAAUUCUUGGGCAGUGACAGAAGGAAGUUCCUUGGAAGCUAAAGUUUUGCUAGUGUUUUUUUUCCUGCAUGCAAUUAUAAUGUGCUGAUGCCUAAUAAUCCUUCAUGACGAGUGUUUAUGGCACUUGCCCCAUGUUUUAUUCAUUUUGUACCUGAGACUCUACUUUUACUGACAUAACAUGUAAUGCUGUUUUGAC